This 253-nucleotide ribosomal RNA is filed under the name uncultured bacterium. RNAcentral's name for it is "partial 16S ribosomal RNA". It matches the Rfam family "Bacterial small subunit ribosomal RNA", at positions 524 to 776 of the family's 1533-position model. The record is from RNAcentral.
UACGUAGGGUGCAGGCGUUAAUCGGAAUUACUGGGCGUAAAGCGUGCGCAGGCGGUUUCUUAAGUCAGAUGUGAAAGCCCCGGGCUUAACCUGGGAAUUGCAUUGGAUACUGGCAGGCUAGAGUGCGGUAGAGGAUGGCGGAAUUCCCGGUGUAGCAGUGAAAUGCGUAGAGAUCGGGAGGAACAUCUGUGGCGAAGGCGGCCAUCUGGACCAGCACUGACACUGAGGCACGAAAGCGUGGGGAGCAAACAGG